UAGUCUCAGUUCGGAUUGGAGUCUGCAACCCGACUCCAUGAAGCUGGAUUCGCUAGUAAUCGCGCAUCAGCCACGGCGCGGUGAAUACGUUCCCGGGCCUUGUACACACCGCCCGUCAAGCCAUGGAAGCCGGGAGUGCCUGAAGUGCGUGAGCGCAAGCAGCGCCCUAAGGUAAAACCGGUGACUGGGGCUAAGUCGUAACAAGGUAGC
This 210-nucleotide ribosomal RNA is filed under the name uncultured bacterium. RNAcentral's name for it is "partial 16S ribosomal RNA". It matches the Rfam family "Bacterial small subunit ribosomal RNA", at positions 1283 to 1500 of the family's 1533-position model. The record is from RNAcentral.